UGUCCAGGGAUGGGAAUCGAACCCACAGUGUUCCGCUUACCGGGCAGGUGCCAUGUCCACUAGGCUACCCUGGG
This is a non-coding RNA of Cordylochernes scorpioides, 74 nucleotides long. Lineage: Eukaryota; Metazoa; Arthropoda; Arachnida; Pseudoscorpiones; Chernetidae. The record is from the annotation of a GenBank genome assembly.